GCCUCGGGCUCCUCAGCAGCCCUGGAUUUGGCCUGGAGCCAGGGGUCUGGGCAGAGGAGAGUGCUUGCUCGGGAGGAGGAGAGGCAGUUCAGGGCCUGGAGGGGACCGGGUGAGCUCAGCCUGGGGCUUCUCCGGGAGGCUGGCAGCUAGAGAGCCUUGUCUCCAGGGGCAGACAUGCACACAGGGAGAGAAAAGCUUGCGGUCAGCAGCCAUGCGAGCCCCGGGAGUGCCUCCUGUCCUCACCAGGGUGGUGGUGGGGGCACCAGAGGUCCCAGCCCCCAUGCUGCCCCACCCUGAUCCUCGGCCUGCGCUCGCUCCUUGCCCUGCCUGCCUGAGCUGCCCCUGCCUUGGCUCCCAGGGGGUUGGGCCCAUCUGCAUGGCUGCCCCCCACCUGCAAGCCCCCUCCUUUGGAGAAGCACCUGUCAGUGUGAGUCUAGGGCUGGGACCUCCCGGGGCUCCUUUUUGGGUUCCCUGGGCGAUUGCACCCCAAAUGUUGUUUCCUAGGUCUGAGGGAGAGAGGUUCUCUAUCUUGCUGCUCAGACGGCCCUGGCCAGGAACUGAGAACAGCCCCCCUGUCCCCCAGGGCUCUUGCCCUCCGCCGUUUCACCGGAGCACACAAGUGCUCACAAGCUCGGCAGUGACUAAAAGCCAGGAAGGGCCGGGGAGGCCGGGAGCCUUCUGGAUGGACCCCGUGUUGGUGACCCAGCUGUGCUGCACUCUCCCCAGCCUUGCUGAGAAGCCUCCACAGAGCCAGGACCAAAGCCUGUGACCCUGAAGCUCCCAGAAGAGUUCCGGGUCAGUCUUACAUCACUGACCUCCUAUCCGCCGGGGCUCUUGGUUACAAACUACGAGAGUAGAUGGUGGUGGAUAAUGGGACGGCUGACAGCAGGAGGGCUGGGGACACAGUAGAGCCACAUGAUACCUGGGGUCCCAGCCAGGGCGGGGCCGUCCCCCAGGUUUAGGACGACACUGCUGUUGCUGUGAAUAAUUUCUAAAGUGUCCCAGCGCCUUCAUCUGUCCCUCAAGAUUCAAAUCCCUGGACAGAAGCACAUGAGUGCCCAUUCCAGAGAGAGAGAGGGAGGCUCCACUUCUGAGGGGGAGCCCAGCUCCUCCUGCCCCCCACGCAUGCUCCACAUGCAUGGCCGGGGGCUUGGGUGUGUUGGGAGGCCAAGACCCUGACAGCCCAAUCAGCAAAAUCCCACGCGUGUGAGGCCAACCUUGAUCCACCCCCGCCCCCUCCUAACACACAUCCUGCCUGCCUGAGUGUGCUUCCUGGCUGCCUGACCUUUGGCCUCCGGUGCAGCCAUGUCCCUGGGCUCCAGCCAGUGGGAUUCGGGGGAUUUCCAAGCCUGGCCCUACUCCUGCCCCACCAUGAUCCUCGCCCUCUUUCUCUGUCUGAGUGGAGAAUUCGGAGGGGCCAAAGGCAGCACAGCAGAGCUGAGUCAAGUGGAGCCUGGAUCCCUGCAUGACCACGUGGACUGCUGCCCACCAUCUGGGAACAAUCCAGGUUGGCCUUCCCCUGACUGAGAAAUAAACUCUACUGUGUCAAGCUGGGGAGUAUGAGGCUCUAUUAGAGCAGCUAGAGUUACCCACCUCAACAAACACAACUCGUGAGCCAGCUAAGGGCACGAUCCACUUUAUGGAUGAAGAAUCUGGCAGUAUGACAAUUCAUGUCUUCAAAAAAUAUCACAUGGCUAAUUCGUGGGAAAGGUCAUACCUAACCCCAGUCUCAGGGUGCUGGAGUGUGGGCUGGAGAACACAGUGGGGAAUCCUGAAGCAGAGGCUGCAGGCACAGCCGACUGUCCCCAGAACUCACUUUGUCCCGGAUCUUGUCAGCAGGCCCUGGGAUUGCCCCAAAAAGAGCUGAGCCCAUGUCUUUGAAUUCAGAUCCUGUGCUCUGUUGACAAAAGGACUUCUUAUCAAAAAGUUAAGUUUUUUUGA
Molecule: long non-coding RNA, 1941 nt
Filed under: Pan troglodytes (chimpanzee)
Lineage: Eukaryota; Metazoa; Chordata; Mammalia; Primates; Hominidae
Description: lncRNA (ENSPTRG00000053158.1)
Source: RNAcentral